CUUCUAGCCUGUUUACUGUAUUAUUCAGCUUACCCCGGUGCAUAAAUUUGAAUCACGAAUUCUGGGAAGAUAUAAACAAGAGCACCCACAACACCUCCUAAAAAUAUCAACUAGUCUUCGACAAACUCCACCUACACAGAAGAUUCUUUCUGUAACAUGGAUAUAGAUAACUAACAGCAUUACGAUUUUCUUUCCUUUUCAUCCGUUCCUCGACAAUGUUACCUAAUAGCUGGAAGGAUGCAUGUCUCCCAACACAUAAGCAUCAACAAAUUCACUAGUAAUAACACUAUGACAUUCAGAAUCAACUAAAAUUGAAGCAAAACAAACUCUCAAGUUUCAGGCAAAUAAUCUUCACCAUCAAGCAUUCAAGCUUACCCAUCAGGAGUCGCGAAACGCGCAGCAUAAGUCUUCGGCUUCGCUUUAUCUCCAUAGAGGGACAGUCCAGCAUUAUAGUCCUACAAAAUCCAGUAACACAGCAAUCUAUGAAAUCAAUCAAUAAAAAUGAAUCUAUAAUCCAGCAGGCAUAAAAUGCAGAAUCUCUUGA
RNAcentral lists this long non-coding RNA (544 nucleotides) under Salvia miltiorrhiza (redroot sage). RNAcentral's name for it is "long non-coding RNA (SMIL_LNC011531)". Lineage: Eukaryota; Viridiplantae; Streptophyta; Magnoliopsida; Lamiales; Lamiaceae. The record is from RNAcentral.